UUGACUUUGAUGUUUCUGUCAGUUAGUCAGUUGGCAUUUUUUGUUUAACUAUUUGCUUAAAAUGGAAGAAAUUCCACAAAAUAUAAGAGAAAAGGCCAUAAAAGCGACCGAAAAUCUUUUGCUAGUUAAAUCAAGGCAACAGUAUGAUCGGGAGUAUGGCAUAUUUGGUAUUUGGAAAGAUGCCAACGUAAUUGUUCAAAUAACCGAAACCGUUCUAAUGGCAUAUUUUUAGGAACUGUCGGAAAAAUACAGUCCGAACUCUCUCUGGACCAAGUAUUCUACCCUAAAGUCUACGUUAAUUGUCUAUAAAAAUAUAGACAUCUCGCAAUACCAUCGUCUCAUAUCUUUUUUAAAAGUUAAGUCGAAAGGAUAUGUCCCGAAGAAGUCUAAAGUUUUGGAAGGAGAACAAAUAAUAAAAUUUAUUAAGAAGGCUCCUGAUGGUAUCUACUUGGUACACAAAGUCAUAUUGGUAAUGGGUGUUUUUGGACGUUUAAGACGAGAUGAGUUGGUCAAAAUGACCAUUGAUGAUAUUGAAGAUAGAGGAACGGUCUUGGUUAUAAAGGUACCAUAAACUAAAAUUUCAACUUCAAAAAAUUUUACUAUCAUUGAAGAAGAUUUAGGCGCUUUAAAUUUAAUAAAAAAAUACGCAGCAUUAAGACUAGCUGGAAUAAAGGAGGGAAGAUUCUUUCUUACCUAUAGAAAGAGUCGCUAUACAGUACAACCUGUAGGAAAAAAUACCAUAGAAAGCGUCCCAACAUUGAUCGCAAAAUUUUUAAAACUGGAUAAUGCAGAAGCUUAUACCGGCCACUGUUUGCGUCGCCCAUCGUCAACUUUACUUGUUGAGGCAGAAGUUAAGAAGAGAGUCUAGCUUCGUUUGAAAUGCUAAAACAACAUGGGAAAUGGAAAAGCUCUUCAGUAGCUGAAGGAUAUAUAGAAGAAAGUAUUUCAUCCAAAAAUAAAGUAGCAAAAAUGAUUGCCAAUUCAGUUAAUUCCGAGGUUAAUUCCGUAUCGACUAUUGAAAAUUCUUUAAUGGACAAUUUACAAACUAUACAAAAUAGCGUUAGUGCUGCCACCUCUACCAUCACAAAAAACACCGACCAUUCUAUAGUGGGAUCUAUAUUUGUGUGGGAAGCUAUAUUUUCCGGGACAUUUCAAAAUUGUAAUUUUUAUUUUGGAAAUAAAGUUUAAUUUUUAGUA
This 1197-nucleotide long non-coding RNA is filed under the name Anthonomus grandis grandis. Its description in RNAcentral is "uncharacterized LOC126750383". Lineage: Eukaryota; Metazoa; Arthropoda; Insecta; Coleoptera; Curculionidae. The record is from RNAcentral.